ACCUCUAUCAAUUUAAUCUGCAUAUGACUACCUACGAUUCUUCUCGUAGUCUCACCACAAAAAUCAAAAACUCUUUAAAAUGAUAAUUCCCAAUUUUUGUAGUAUACUGAAUUCUAGUGUAUUAUACUGAACUUUUGUCAAAUUGAAUAAAGUGAAGUAUAAAUGAAUGAGACAUGUUUGGAAUUGAGUUCCGAAGGUUCUAGAACGAUUAGAAGCGAGGUAGAACUCGGAGGACCGAAAAUGAGAAUUUUUUAUAAAGAUAUGACUGAAUU
This 272-nucleotide long non-coding RNA is filed under the name Ananas comosus (pineapple). Its description in RNAcentral is "long non-coding RNA (ACOM_LNC037829)". The record is from RNAcentral. Lineage: Eukaryota; Viridiplantae; Streptophyta; Magnoliopsida; Poales; Bromeliaceae.